Micropterus dolomieu (smallmouth bass) is the source of this 153-nucleotide long non-coding RNA. RefSeq lists it as uncharacterized. Lineage: Eukaryota; Metazoa; Chordata; Actinopteri; Centrarchiformes; Centrarchidae. The transcript is spliced from 3 exons. The record is from RefSeq and is a predicted model, not a curated record.
UCUGGACCUACACCUGGACCAGGACCACAUGGAUCAACAGACAGGACCAGAAGAACCAGAGGCAGUACAGCUAGGUGACUCCUUUGCCAAGCAUUCAAUGCUUUUCAGCUGGACCCAGACAGGCUUGGUGGAGUCCGCCAAGCCCACGCUGGA